CAGUCGCCGCGGUAAUACGAGGGGGGCAAGCGUUGUUCGGAAUUAUUGGGCGUAAAGGGUGCGUAGGCGGUUUGGCAAGUUUGGUGUGAAAUCUUCGGGCUCAACUCGAAGUCUGCAUCGAAAACUGCCGGGCUUGAGUAUGGGAGAGGUGAGUGGAAUUUCCGGUGUAGCGGUGAAAUGCGUAGAUAUCGGAAGGAACACCUGUGGCGAAAGCGGCUCACUGGACCAUAACUGACGCUGAUGCACGAAAGCUAGGGGAGCAAACAGGAUUAGAGACCCCUGUAGUCCCUGUCUCUUAUAC
Molecule: ribosomal RNA, 301 nt
Filed under: uncultured bacterium
Lineage: Bacteria
Description: partial 16S ribosomal RNA
Rfam family: Bacterial small subunit ribosomal RNA
Source: RNAcentral